Molecule: ribosomal RNA, 557 nt
Filed under: uncultured bacterium
Lineage: Bacteria
Description: bacterial SSU rRNA
Rfam family: Bacterial small subunit ribosomal RNA
Source: RNAcentral
CCUACGGGAGGCAGCAGUGAGGAAUUUUCCGCAAUGGGCGAAAGCCCGACGGAGCAAUACCGCGUGAGGGAUGAAGGAUUUUGGUCUGUAAACCUCUUUUCUCAAGAAAGAAGUUCUGACGGUACUUGAGGAAUAAGCAUCGGCUAACUCCGUGCCAGCAGCCGCGGUAAUACGGGGGAUGCAAGCGUUAUCCGGAAUGAUUGGGCGUAAAGCGCCUGUAGGUUGUUUAUUAAGUCCGUUGUUAAAGCCUAGGGCUCAACCCUAGAAAAGCAAUGGAAACUAGUAGACUAGAGUAUGGCAGGGGUAGAGGGAAUUUCUAGUGUAGCGGUGAAAUGCGUAGAUAUUAGAAAGAACACCGGUGGCGAAAGCGCUCUACUGGACCAUUACUGACACUCAGAGGCGAAAGCUAGGGUAGCAAAAGGGAUUAGAUACCCCUGUAGUCCUAGCCGUAAACGAUGGAUACUAGAUGUUGUGCAUUAUGUACAGUAUCGUAGCUAACGCGUUAAGUAUCCCGCCUGGGGAGUACGCUCGCAAGGGUGAAACUUAAGAAUUGACGG